This 465-nucleotide ribosomal RNA is filed under the name Vreelandella stevensii. RNAcentral describes it as "partial 16S ribosomal RNA". It matches the Rfam family "Bacterial small subunit ribosomal RNA", at positions 338 to 795 of the family's 1533-position model. Lineage: Bacteria; Pseudomonadati; Pseudomonadota; Gammaproteobacteria; Oceanospirillales; Halomonadaceae. The record is from RNAcentral.
CCUACGGGUGGCUGCAGUGGGGAAUAUUGGACAAUGGGCGAAAGCCUGAUCCAGCCAUGCCGCGUGUGUGAAGAAGGCCUUCGGGUUGUAAAGCACUUUCAGUGGGGAAGAAAGCCUUGGGGCUAAUACCCUCGAGGAAGGACAUCACCCACAGAAGAAGCACCGGCUAACUCCGUGCCAGCGGCCGCGGUAAUACGGAGGGUGCGAGCGUUAAUCGGAAUUACUGGGCGUAAAGCGCGCGUAGGUGGUUUGAUAAGCCGGUUGUGAAAGCCCCGGGCUCAACCUGGGAACGGCAUCCGGAACUGUCAGGCUAGAGUGCAGUAGAGGAAGGUAGAAUUCCCGGUGUAGCGGUGAAAUGCGUAGAGAUCGGGAGGAAUACCAGUGGCGAAGGCGGCCUUCUGGACUGACACUGACGCUGAGGUGCGAAAGCGUGGGUAGCAAACAGGAUUAGAUACCCCGGUAGUC